CCUACGGGAGCAGCAGUGGGGAAUUUUGGACAAUGGGGGCAACCCUGAUCCAGCCAUUCCGCGUGAGUGAAGAAGGCCUUCGGGUUGUAAAGCUCUUCCGCAAGGGAAGAAAACUUAUGAUCGAAUAAAUCAUGAGGUUGACGGUACCUUGAUAAGAAGCACCGGCUAACUACGUGCCAGCAGCCGCGGUAAUACGUAGGGUGCGAGCGUUAAUCGGAAUUACUGGGCGUAAAGCGUGCGCAGGCGGUUUUGUAAGUCGGAUGUGAAAUCCCCGGGCUCAACCUGGGAACUGCGUUCGAAACUGCAAGGCUAGAGUGUGUCAGAGGGGGGUAGAAUUCCACGUGUAGCAGUGAAAUGCGUAGAGAUGUGGAGGAAUACCAAUGGCGAAGGCAGCCCCCUGGGAUAACACUGACGCUCAUGCACGAAAGCGUGGGGAGCAAACAGGAUUAGAUACCCUGGUAGUCCACGCCCUAAACGAUGUCAACUAGUUGUUGGUAGAGUAAAAUCUAUGAGUAACGUAGCUAACGCGUGAAGUUGACCGCCUGGGGAGUACGGUCGCAAGAUUAAAACUUAAAGGAAUUGACGG
Molecule: ribosomal RNA, 586 nt
Filed under: uncultured bacterium
Lineage: Bacteria
Description: bacterial SSU rRNA
Rfam family: Bacterial small subunit ribosomal RNA
Source: RNAcentral